GAUCGAAGUAACAACUCAUCAACCCUGUGACAUACCUAAAACGUUGCUUCGGCGGGAACAGACGGCCCUGUAACAACGGGCCGCCCCCGCCAGAGGACCCCUAACUCUGUUUUUAUAAUGUUUUUCUGAGUAAACAAGCAAAUAAAUUAAAACUUUCAACAACGGAUCUCUUGGCUCUGGCAUCGAUAAAGAACGCAGCGAAAUGCGAUAAGUAAUGUGAAUUGCAGAAUUCAGUGAAUCAUCGAAUCUUUGAACGCACAUUGCGCCCGCCAGUAUUCUGGCGGGCAUGCCUGUUCGAGCGUCAUUACAACCCUCAGGCCCCCGGGCCUGGCGUUGGGGAUCGGCAGAAGCCCCCUGUGGGCACACGCCGUCCCUCAAAUACAGUGGCGGUCCCGCCGCAGCUUCCAUUGCGUAGUAGCUAACACCUCGCAACUGGAGAGCGGCGCGGCCAUGCCGUAAAACACCCAACUUCGGAAUGUUGACCUCGAAUCGGGUAAGAAUACCCGCUGAACUUACCCAUAUCAACCAAAAAAGAGGGAAAAA
Molecule: ribosomal RNA, 543 nt
Filed under: Fusarium sp. fusa 11
Lineage: Eukaryota; Fungi; Ascomycota; Sordariomycetes; Hypocreales; Nectriaceae
Description: eukaryotic LSU rRNA
Rfam family: 5.8S ribosomal RNA (bases 151-304)
Source: RNAcentral